RNAcentral lists this long non-coding RNA (674 nucleotides) under Homo sapiens (human). Its description in RNAcentral is "HSALNT0018427". Lineage: Eukaryota; Metazoa; Chordata; Mammalia; Primates; Hominidae. The record is from RNAcentral.
CUGGAAGGAGGCAAGAGGAGAGGUUGACAAGCACACUGAAUGACAACUGAACAAGACAUUCAGAACUGGGCAAUGCUGUCACAUUAGAAGUCAUUGAAGGAGCUGAAGAAUUUAGCCAGGAAAAUUGCAGAUGCCCACAAGACAUAACAACUGUCUUUAAACGCUUGAGAAACUAUCAUUUGGGAAUCAAAUUUAGAUGAAUAUUUGACAUCCCUUUAGGUGCACUUUCUUUUUACAAAAUGCCAGAAGUAUUUUUUAAAGAACAUUCAGCUGCAUUAAAACCUCUGAUUUUAAAAACAACUAAGUGGAAUAAACCUGGAACUUCAAAAUGUUCUCCCAACUGAAACCUGUUACCCGUUUGGUUUGAAAUUGAGUCACUAACUUUAAGCAGGAUGCAACUUCUUACCACCACCUUCAACCAUAUCUUCCAGCAAUGAUCUCAAGAGCUAUUAGGAUAGAUCUGUGACUUGUACUUAGGGGUUAGACAUCUGUCAGCCCUUGAGAUGGGACCAAGAAAAAGUUUUAAUUAAAUAUUUUCCUUGACUGACAACGAGGAGGGCAUAACACUUUUUCUAUUUUUUCAUUUGUUCUAUGGAUUGAAAGGAAAAUGGAUUUAAUACUGCAAAGUUAAUAUUACUUCUUCAUGUAAAUUUUUAUUAUAUACUGCAAUGAAG